UGAAACAUAAAUUAAAAAAAAAAAGGACGUCAAAAGAUUUGUACAGAAAGACUGAGCUCUAAAAAUGUAGAAAGUCUUUGCUCUCCGUAAAGGAAAGCUCAACAAAGUAAGUUGCAGAGAAGCCAAAAGAGAAAAGGUUCAGAGGAAGAGGUUUAGAGAGAGAAAAAGGGACUUCGGAUACCAAACUGGGAAGUGAGAAUUUUGUUUUGCUACAGGAGAAGAG
This 223-nucleotide unclassified non-coding RNA is filed under the name Hevea brasiliensis (rubber tree). The record is from RNAcentral. Lineage: Eukaryota; Viridiplantae; Streptophyta; Magnoliopsida; Malpighiales; Euphorbiaceae.